Molecule: long non-coding RNA, 498 nt
Filed under: Gallus gallus (chicken)
Lineage: Eukaryota; Metazoa; Chordata; Aves; Galliformes; Phasianidae
Description: lncRNA (ENSGALG00010025845.1)
Source: RNAcentral
CGUCGCCCUCAUUCCUCCGCGGCCGCGACCCGCCGGAGGGGGGGGAAGGGGCGGUCCCAGAGGGGGGGCACGAGGGUAUGGAGACCCCCAGGAACCACCCCGGGGCUCAGAGUGGCCCCAGUGCCCCCGUUAUCCAUCCCAGCGCCCCAUUCUUCCCAGACUGAUCCCAUACCCCCCCCCCAGCAUCCAGACUGGUCCCUGUGCCCCCAGCCCCGCUCCCAGUGCCCUCUAUGGUCCGUGUCCACACAGCUGUGCCUCAGUCCCUGUCCUGCGUCCCUAAUACUGAUGUGGGAUGAGGACAGGGAUGAGGAGGGGGACGUGGGCAAGGGUGAAGAUGGGGUCUAGGGACAGGGAUGGGGACAGGAGCAGGACAGGGACGGGACAGGAAUGGGACAGAUGGGAUGGGACAAUAAUGGGACAGGACAAGGACAGGGAUGGGACAGCCGGCACAUGGCAGGGCCAGCAGUAGCCGCCAGGCGGCAGCAGAGAACCGCAACC